UUUGGGCAUGAUACGUGUGUAGUCCAGCCUGCAUUUUAGCAUACUUCCUCUCUUGCUGAGCUCAUCAAUGCCUGGUGAAGUUUUCAACCAGAUUAAGAAGUCCACCACUGACUGACAUGACAGAAAGAUGCUGUUUCUCCCUGUCCAAAAGAUUAGCAGACCCCCAACUGCCUCACCUGGUGUGGCUAGCUCCCUGAGGAGAGGAAACCAACAAACAGCAGCGGCUGAGGAAGAGGAUACAGGCCAAUAAGGUGGGAGGCCAGUCCAAUUCCAGCUCCACGCACAGCGUCCGAUUCUUCAAUCGCCCAACAAAGGUCUGCCAAGCGCAUGCCAAGUGCUGUACCAAGUAAAAGUUAAUUAUGCACCAUUUCAGCCCUCAAGCGUCAACUACCUGGAGAAAGAAAAGAUGAAUGGAGCAUAGCACCAGAACCGAAGAAGUACGGUGACAAACGGAAGCAGGACAUGGGGUGAGCAAACAGAAGCACAGGAGUAAAUGGACCACAGCCAUGCAAGUGUUAAAUGACUAACCCAGCAUUUGAGCACAGAUGCUCUCACUAAACCAAACUCAGUGCAUCUAAUCUCCACGCAAAAUCACCUCCAGGGACAAAAAGAGGAAAAAAAAAUGUUAAGUCACUAACAAAAGAAGAAAAUUGUUCUGAUCACAAAUGUCCCCUUUGCAAAUGAAAGGGUUCUGAGACCUGAAAGUCCAAAAAGCAAUUAUUAAUAUGCAGAAUGUGGAUGGAAAGAAGAGGCUAAUUUGCAACCAACUCAUCAGACUGGGGUGGUACAGUUCUGUAAUCACAGCACUGGGAGAGGGAGGGAAUGUGCAGGCAGGAGAAUUAAAAGGUUAAGGGCAGCUCUGGCUAUAUACCAAGUUUGAGGCUUGCACUACCCUGGAAUGCAUGAGAGCCUGUCUCUAUGAAGAUGGGAAAGAGAUUUGUAGGGAGAGGGGAAGAAUAGGGAUAGGCAGCUGAUGAGAGUGGGAGAGAGGUUACAGGAAUCAAAAUGCACAUGUAUAAGACUGUCAAAGAUAAAUUCAGUAAAAAAAAAUUUAAAACAAACAACAACAAUUAAUUUGUGAUCAAAGUGUAAAAGACAACGCUAUCACAGUCCUUCAGGGACCCAACCUGAGAGAUUUACUGGAAUCUGUAUGUUCACCAGCUGAUGGAUGAAGCAAAUUAAAAAUGUAAGGAUUACAAAAUCUAGACAAGGGAGUACCGCUAGUUAAUCCUAACUGGGUUACAAAGAGAAAGUUUAAAUAAUUGUUAUGGAUGGAUACAAGAUUGAACGUGGGCAUCAGAAUUGCAUUUACUACAGAUAAGUAACGCUGGGCUGAUAAGGGGAGAUUGAAGAGGAGCGCACUACAUUCAUUAUUUUAAAGUAAAACUUCAAAACCUAACAUUUAAUCCUUAAAAUAGAUUGACGAAUGUUUUGUGAAAUGUGCUAGGGACUACUAAAUGAGGAAUUGAGUAACUACCACGCCAACCUCGGGACAAAAGACUAAUGAAGACAUCUGUACUCUCACAGAAGGGGUAGGGAGAUGGUUUAGUGGGUGAGGCGUGAGGACCUGGGUUCAAUCCCUAGCACUACAUAAAAAUCGGGUGCAGAAAUGCAUAAUAUAACCCCUGUGAGUGGUAGAGGACACAGGUGGGCCUUGAGACCUCCUGGCCAACCAGCCUAUCUGAAACAGUGAGUUCAAGGCUUGGGGAGAUACUAAUCUCAAAUAUUAGGUGGAUGAGUGAGUGAGGGACAGUGCCUUAUAUUAUGUCCCGGCCUGCACAUGUGCACAAAUAGGCCAAACUUCCCAUCAUUAGACAGAGAUGCUUGGAUUGUUAAUAAACCGAUAGCAACAACAA
This is a long non-coding RNA of Psammomys obesus (fat sand rat), 1856 nucleotides long. RefSeq lists it as uncharacterized. NCBI's taxonomy places the organism in Eukaryota, Metazoa, Chordata, Mammalia, Rodentia, Muridae. The transcript is spliced from 3 exons. The record is from RefSeq and is a predicted model, not a curated record.